ACGAGUGUCGUGCCGGGCUCCGCGUGAGGACGGAUGGGGUGUGCGUUGUGCGGAAUGAUUGGGCGUAACGGGCUCGUAGGUGGUGUGUCGCUUCGGGAGUGAAAACCUCAUGCUUAACAUGUGGCGUGCGUUCGAUACGGGCAGACUAGAGGUAGGCAGGGGAGAGCGGAAUUCCUGGUGUAGCGGUGAAAUGCGCAGAUAUCAGGAGGAACACCGGUGGCGAAGGCGGUUCUCUGGGCAUUACCUGACGCUGAGGAGCUAAAGUGUGGGGAGCGAACAGGAUUAGAUACCCUGGUAGUC
RNAcentral lists this ribosomal RNA (300 nucleotides) under uncultured Halorubrum sp. Its description in RNAcentral is "bacterial SSU rRNA". It matches the Rfam family "Bacterial small subunit ribosomal RNA", at positions 496 to 795 of the family's 1533-position model. Lineage: Archaea; Methanobacteriati; Methanobacteriota; Halobacteria; Halobacteriales; Haloferacaceae. The record is from RNAcentral.